AGCCCAGCAGCUAGCUUUAACCUUAAAAUUCAAUAACCCCCUAUUAAUAAACCCUAAUAACCGAACCAACUAAAAACAAACCAUUUUUCCCCCCAAGUAUGGGUGACAGAAAAGGAAACACCAAAAGCAAUAGAAAAAGUACCGCAAGGGAAAGCUGAAAGAGAAAUGAAACAAACCAGUAAAGCACAAAAAAGCAGAGCUAAAAACUCGUACCUUUUGCAUCAUGAUUUAGCAAGAAGAACUCAGGCAAAAAGAAUUGUAGUCUGACACCCCGAAACCAAGUGAGCUACUCCAAGACAGCCUUAUGGGCUAACCCGUCUCUGUGGCAAAAGAGUGGGGAGAGCUUUGAGUAGAGGUGACAGACCUACCGAACUUGGUUAUAGCUGGUUGUCCAAGAACUGAACAGGAGUUCAGCCCUCUGUUUUCUUCCCCCAGUAGCCUUCACUUAAGACCUAAGUGCAAAAGAAGAUCAGAGGAGUUAAUCAAAGGGGGUACAGCCCCUUUGACAAAGACACAACUUUACCAGAAGGAUUAAGAUCACAUCAUAAAAGGAAAAGUGUUCUAGUUGGCCUAAAAGCAGCCACCCAUGCAGAAAGCGUUAAAGCUCAUACACACAUUCCACCCAUUAUCCGGACCACCCCAUCUUACCCCUCUACCCUUAUUGGACCUUUCCAUUAUUUCCAAUGGAAGAGAUUAUGCUAUAAUGAGUAAUAAGAGACUAAGCAUCUCUCCCUGCACAAGUGUAUAUCGGAACGAACCCCCACCGAAAAUUAACGGCCCCAAAGAAGAGGGUAAUAGAGCAAUAUGGAAGCGCCACUAGAAAAGCAUCUAAACUAAUAACCGUUAACCUUACACCAGAGUGCAUACAAGGAAAGACUAAAAGAAAAAGAAGGAACUCGGCA
Molecule: ribosomal RNA, 902 nt
Filed under: Gymnapogon vanderbilti (Vanderbilt's cardinalfish)
Lineage: Eukaryota; Metazoa; Chordata; Actinopteri; Kurtiformes; Apogonidae
Description: partial 16S ribosomal RNA
Rfam family: Bacterial large subunit ribosomal RNA (bases 192-902)
Source: RNAcentral